RNAcentral lists this non-coding RNA (191 nucleotides) under Natranaerobius trueperi. RNAcentral describes it as "Lysine sequence". It matches the Rfam family "Lysine riboswitch aptamer". Rfam says of the family: Riboswitches are metabolite binding domains within certain messenger RNAs that serve as precision sensors for their corresponding targets. The record is from Rfam by way of RNAcentral. Lineage: Bacteria; Bacillati; Bacillota; Clostridia; Natranaerobiales; Natranaerobiaceae.
AGAUGGGGUAGAGGUUGCGAACUGUCAAAAGUACCUAAGAAGAGUUUGGGUAAAACUAAGAUUCUUAGGGAAAGGGAAGUUCGCCGAAGCUUUGAUCUUCUACCCAGAGUUCAAAGUUGGGACUGUACUUAAUAUGUACAGGACUGUCUUCAGGUAGAUUUCCCAUCUAUCUGAGGUGUGCUCUCCAUUUU